This 914-nucleotide ribosomal RNA is filed under the name uncultured archaeon. Its description in RNAcentral is "bacterial SSU rRNA". It matches the Rfam family "Archaeal small subunit ribosomal RNA", at positions 4 to 922 of the family's 1478-position model. The record is from RNAcentral.
CUGGUUGAUCCUGCCAGAGGCUACUGCUAUCGGGGUCCGACUAAGCCAUGCGAGUUGAGAGGGGUAAGCCCUCGGCAUAUUGCUCAGUAACACGCGGAUAACCUGCCCUUGGGUCCGGGAUAACCCCGGGAAACUGGGACUAAUACCGGAUAGAUCAAGGAUACUGGAAUGUUCUCUGGUCCAAAACUCCGGUGCCCAAGGAUGGGUCUGCGGUCUAUCAGGUUGUAGUGGGUGUAACGUACCUACUAGCCUACGACGGAUACGGGUUGUGGGAGCAAGAGCCCGGAGAUGGAUUCUGAGACAUGAAUCCAGGCCCUACGGGGCGCAGCAGGCGCGAAAACUUUACAAUGCGGGAAACCGCGAUAAGGGGACACCGAGUGCCAGCAUCCUAUGUUGGCUGUCCAUAUGUAUAAAUCACAUGUGUUAGCAAGGGCCGGGCAAGACCGGUGCCAGCCGCCGCGGUAACACCGGCGGCCCGAGUGGUGGCCACUAUUAUUGGGUCUAAAGGGUCCGUAGCCGGUUUGGUCAGUCUUCCGGGAAAUCUGACGGCUUAACCGUUAGGCUUUCGGGGGAUACUACCAGGCUUGGGACCGGGAGAGGUAAGAGGUACUACGGGGGUAGGAGUGAAAUCUUGUAAUCCCUGUGGGACCACCAGUGGCGAAGGCGUCUUACCAGAACGGGUCCGACGGUGAGGGACGAAAGCUGGGGGCACGAACCGGAUUAGAUACCCGGGUAGUCCCAGCUGUAAACUAUGCUCGCUAGGUGUCAGGGACGGUGCGACCGUUUCUGGUGCCGCAGGGAAGCCGUGAAGCGAGCCACCUGGGAAGUACGGUCGCAAGGCUGAAACUUAAAGGAAUUGGCGGGGGAGCACUACAACGGGUGGAGCCUGCGGUUUAAUUGGAUUCAACGCCGGG